CUAUUUUACUUAAUUAUUUUUUAUUAUGUAUGUUUCUUUCAUAUUCUAAAGUUUUAUUCUUGCUUUUUUAUUCACUUUUUCUUUAAAUUAUAUAUAAGUUUUGUUUAACUAAAUGUUCUA
Molecule: ribosomal RNA, 120 nt
Filed under: Oedaleus decorus
Lineage: Eukaryota; Metazoa; Arthropoda; Insecta; Orthoptera; Acrididae
Description: partial 12S ribosomal RNA
Source: RNAcentral